This 274-nucleotide ribosomal RNA is filed under the name uncultured bacterium. RNAcentral's name for it is "partial 16S ribosomal RNA". It matches the Rfam family "Bacterial small subunit ribosomal RNA", at positions 524 to 792 of the family's 1533-position model. The record is from RNAcentral.
UACGGAGGGGGCAAGCGUUGUCCGGACUUACUGGGCGUAAAGGGUGCGUAGGUGGCCUGCCACGUCGGUGCUGAAAGCGCCCGGCUCAACCGGGCGAGGCGUGCCGAUACGAGUGGGCUCGAGCCUCGGAGAGGGCGGUGGAACUCCUGGUGUGAGUGGUGAAAUGCGUAGAGAUCAGGAAGAACACCCGUGGCGCAAGCGGACCGCCCUGGCCGAGAGCUGACACUGAGGCACGAGAGCGUGGGGAGCGAACCGGAUUAGAAACCCCGUGGUA